GUGAUUGCCCCGCGGAGGAAGCGGCCGCUGCCGCUUCCGCUGCCGCGCCUGUUCCACGAGCGCCCGGUCGCGCCCUUCUUCGGCUUCGGGCUGCCCUGACUGUCCCUCGAGUCGCCAGGGUGUCGAGGACCGCCCACGUGGUGAAGCGUCUUCGAGAGGGGGAGCGCCACAGCAGGCUUGUACAGGCGGCGAAAUGCUUCGCGCGCGAUCGUCCUGGGAUUAAUGCGACGACCUGGACAUUUGUAGAUGUCUGCAAUCUGCGAAUAGUGUCGAGUAUUCCAGAGAGUCAGAGACUACGAAAAAGUAAUUCCGAGAUUCGACAGGCUCGAAAUUAUCGUCCGAUUGACGGAUUCUAGAGUCUAAGGGUUUAGAACUUUCCAAGAUCCUAGGAUAAUGCAUCGUUUUUCCGGGGGGGAGCGGAAGAGUGUCGGGAAAAAGAAGAACUUCCCUCCCCCCCUCCACCGGCGAGUACCGGCGAAAACCGGACCAGCGAUCGGCGCGCGAUGGUAUCGAUUCGCGGGGCGAAUCCGUUCGACCAAUGGCCUCAUUAGCGAUAAUUAUCCGUCAGUUAAUCCGUUUGUCGCGUCUACGGACGAGCUGUCGUAACGCUAAAAGCGGGGGCGAGGAGAGACGAGGAAGAAGGACGGUUAUCGAUCACCGCGCCCUCGAAACUUCCGUUACAUCUCGCGUAGCGGCGGAAGGGCGACGCGGCGGGCGGGCAAAUAAAUAGGGCAAUGGGAUCUAUCGACGACGUGCUCACGCGCUGACGGUCGAGCGGCGUAUAGCUGGCGUGAAGUCAGAAUUUUGCGAGGACAAUCGAUCGAUAGUAAUGCUUCGAAUAGUUUUCGCGAAGACGAUGAGCAAAAGAGCGUCUUGUUUGGUUCCCUCUCGUCUGGGCGGACCGCGAGAAACCAGAUCUUUCAAUAUUGUGUCUGAGAAUAUUGCGUAUCGAACUGUAUUUGCGACGUAUUUUUCUAAAUUUUACACGAAAACUUGUUACUUUUUAAUAUCCAUAUUUAUUUACUCCCGUAAGAAGGCUUUUCCGCGCAGUAUUUAUUUGAUCUCCUAUUUUGUAAGUUAUUAUUUAAGCCGUUAUUUCAUAUGUUACUUCGCAACAUAGCGUUGAGCGCCGGUACAUUUCUUUUCUUUUCUUUUUACGUCCGCGCGUUCGUCACAUAGUUGCCGUUGCGAAGCAAUUCUGCGGAGCAAAGCAAUGUUUUCGCGUUUCAGAACUGCUUCGCAACAACACCGCAAUCAGCACAAAUAACGAUUACGACAGGAAGAUAGAUGCCUUUCGAUGAAUUGCGGUAGAUUUGAAAAAUUGAAAAUGAUUCGUAGUGUCAUCGUGACGAAUUGACGGAAACACGCGCUUGAUAACGAUCAACACACACAAACGAAUGCAUUCUACAUUUAUCAAAAUCGCAUAUAGAAUGCAUUUCUGGCGGUCCGCUCCCGAAGACGUUGCGCAACAUAUUGCGCGCGCACGUCACAUCGUCAUUGAAUUCGUUCUGAUUUCGUUAACUGAUUUCGAUCGAGCCGUCUCUCUACGUUUGUCGAUGAUUCGAUGAGGAUGAGAAGGAGCUGAGAAGCGGAAACGAAGAUGCACGACAGAACGCGAGGUGGCACGCGAAAGCCCGCGCUUCUAAAUGAACGGUCUAAUUAAUUAUGCAAUGGAAGGCUGAAACGCGCGCUGUGAUUUUCGAACACCGAAAAAAAAAAAAAAUUUUUACUCAAAGGUUACUAUGAAUUAUCGUGAUAGCGACCAUUGUUAUCAUUGUUAACAAAGAGAAUAUCCUAUUAAUCUUAAUAUUAUUUCGCCACGCGCGACUAUCAACCAUCAUUUCUCUCAGUUAAUUCGCGUUACAGACGCAAACGGUCUAUGUGUGAGAGUGAACGAGAAUGAGAGGAAGAAAGAGAGAGAAAGAUGUGAGUAAAUUACACCGCCAGUCCUCGGUGUACGAAGCUGAAUAUUGCCAAAUUUCACUUUAUUCUUCAUUAUUUCAUUACAUCUACAUAAUCCAAAAUUAUUCAUGAUUUUAGUAUUUUAAUUCGACGGAAGUUUUCGAGAUACGCGCAUUUCUAAUUUUCUUUGCCUUUCUCUUAAAUCUAAUGAGUUUUAGUGUCAAAUAUAAUAUACUAGUAUCUAAAUAUUCAGCAAAUAAAGAUCCAAUUAAUUAUUUUAUUAAUACGUUUUAAGUUGCGAGCCUGCGCGUUUUCGUAGAUCGAGGACGGCAACGGAUGGAAAUGCGCGACAGACGUUUCGUACGUCCGUAGCAGUAUUACGCACGUAUUCAACGAUUUCGUAUAUAUAUAUACUUGGGCGGUGUGGUCAACCGCCAUGUAGGACACGAGUGUCCUGCGGAAAGUUCGCGCGUCUCGCGACGGAGGAUGUUGGAGGACUGACGGCGGCCGCCGGUUAUCGACCCAUUCAGUUUCCGGCGAAGUGAGGACGGACUGGCCCGAUAUCUCUCGGUAAAUGAAAACAGUAUUCAUUCGAAUUGAUGGUCGAUUGAGAGGAUCGUUAAGUGCGAGAUUCGAACAUUUUGCGGAGAGAGUCACGCCAUCAGCCUCGUGAAAUAGCGAUCGUUGGCGUGAAUGUUGAAGAUUACAUGACAAGGGUCAAAUUUGAGUAUCUCUCACACACACACACACACACACAUACGCGCGCACACACACAAAUACAGCAGAUAUUUUAUGUUAUCUUGUCGAAACUUUGUUCGAUACUUUAAUGACUAAGUUUUUCAUCAGUUUAUUGUACAUUAGACCUAGCCCUGUCAGCCAGUCCGUCCAUGUCAAUUUACGUGUUGCGUGUAAAAACUAAUAUUUGCGAAUGCGAGUCCGGAUGGAUCGCGCAGGCAGCGUCGGCGAUCCUUUUUAACUUUAUCGUCGUAAUUCUGAUCGUGAACAAUGUACAUCGCCGCGACAAAUCACUCCAGUCUCCGAUCUUUGUUGUAAAAUUAAGUGUAAAUAUCGGAAAAAUGGCCGGGAAUCGAUUCUAUUUGCCAAUUUUUUUUUUAUAUAAUAACGUGAUUGCGCGCGUAACGAAAUGUUUGCUUCGGGAUUUUUUGGCGAAUACGUAAGCGCGCGUAGGGGUGAAUCGAGCCGUCUGAUUAAACUUCAGCAGUCGCGUGGGGAUUCGUGUGUCUCCUUGUCGGACACAUGUUUAGUAAUCAUAGUGGUUUAGCGAUAAGACUUGGAAUGUUUUUAUCGCUCUUCUUUUUAUCUUCGUUUUAUCUUUAUCUUUCGAGAAAAUAAUAUUUCCGAGUUUCAAAGGACGAUCAUCCAGAGCGAUAAAAACGGACACGUUGAAACGUGUUUUUAGAGAACCGAUUAGGCUCUGAAACUGACUCAUCGUUGCCGUCAUUGUCAUCGACCCCACGCGGCUGUUUGAAGGUUGAAUCAAGUUUCGCGUGAUUUGAAACGCGCUUUCCUCGCCGGACGCAGCAGCGAACGGUUCCGCACGAUAACGAAAUCCGCGGAUAUCCGCGGUCACGGUCGCAUUUGCCGUAAGGCGCAUUAGGCGCCGGCUGGGGCCUCAUUUUCAAACCUUACUCCUCACAAAUAACAAUAUAAAAAGCAAUCUAGUUAUAAUCGCAAGAUAAAAUACUCAAUUUUAAAUAUUAAAUUUAUAAUAUAAAAACUAGAGGCCGCUGAAAAAUUUGUAAGCGGCAAUUGUUCAUUAAAUUUCGCCCUUUUGCGUUAUGCAUAUCGAAUUUUAUUUUCAAUGAACUUGAAAAAAAAAUGCGCACGAACUUGAUUAACUUAACUGAAACUUGUUCUUUUGAGGUCUCAUAAUGAUGUCGCGCCUCCAAAAGUGUAAAUGCGACUUUGUCCGCGGAACGUACACUUUUUCAAUCGCGGCUUCGACGGUUCGCGCUCGAUUUAAAAAGUUCCGUGUCCGACGAAAUUAUCGGGUCUGAACUGUUCGAGACGGGAUCGCCCGCUUCGCUCGCCUCGUCGCGACGCGACGGGGCGCGGAUGAAAAGGGACACACGCCCCUCCCCACUCCUCCGUGCUAUUGUAAAUAGGGGAACCGCGGUCGCGAGACUGGAGUGGUGUCAUCUCGGUGAUACGUCCAAAUGGAAUUGUGACGUUUCCUCGAUCAGCGCAGAUACACCGUGUGUACGUCGAUCCCAUCGGAAUCCUCCACACAACCAAAAUGGAGCUAGAUAUAUACAUAUGCAUAAGCAUACAUACAUAAUUAUGCUACAUAAUACACGUAUACAUAGGUAGUUAUAUAUACAUAAACUACGUACGGGGCGCAUGUCUCAAAAAGUGUGUACCGAUGGGGAUUUUUUCUCCGCGAAACACCUCAGAUUCGUUGCGGAGAAAAUUUCUGUCUUUCGUCAUUUCUAUUUUAAAUAUACGUUUUAUACGAGUAUAAUCGGAUUUUAUUACUAAAUAAUCUCUCAAUUGGACUUCACGUGUUUACGGUUUUCCAAUUUUUAAAAUUAAAAAUUGUUGUUUUCUCGAAUUGUCGAAGUACUUCAGACAAUUUCCAAUUUUUAGCUGUCCUGAGGAGUCUCGCACGAGGAUAGCAAUCGAUACACACUCUUUGUGAAACAUUCUGUGCACGCAUCUUUGUGCUGGUGGUCCGGUGUCGCGGAAAUCGAGACUUCGAGCACGAGCCAUUUAAUUUGCUCAGGCUGCUACGACUUUUCGGUCGAUCAAUCCGCUGUGCGAGGUGUUGCGAGGCAAAUAUUGGCUUCAUCAAAUAUGCAGCGACAGUUGCAGCCGGAUGCGUCUCCGGCAUAGCUUCUCGCUUCCUUCCGAUGCAGCAGCAGCAGCGGCGGCAGCAGCAGCAACAGCAGCAGCAGCAGCAGCAGCAGUCGAUGUUGAACUGCGGCGAGUUGCUUUCUGUCUUCCGUGUUUACGCACCGAUUUCUUUUAGUUAGACAGAGAUUCGAGCGUCCAAAAGAGAAGAGAGAGAGAGAAAGAUCUUUGAUUUCUCGAUUCAGAAAUUUCGCAACUAUGGAAACUGCGGGUCGCCUCCUGCAACUUUGAACGGUGAAUUGCGGAAUCCUCCGGUCUGGAGACAAAGGUUUUCUCACCAGGACACUUGGAAGGCAUGCCUGGUUUUAAAUCUCUCUGGGGAGACGUGCGAGUCCUUGGCCCGGUUGCACCGACGUUAACUUUAUACUAGUGUUAACUUUUGAUUCCUUCAAUCGUCCCUCUCUUUCUAUAUCAUAGAUACAAUUAGAGAUCAGAGACAAUUGUUAAGCUAGGAUUAAUCGACGCACAUUGUCGGUGCAACCGACGGCUUUAGCACUUAUCGACAUUUCUAUCUCCGCGCGGACUCUCGAGUCGUCAGGGCUGGCAAAGUCUUUUGCGAGAUCACAAAUCGCCUUUACUUUUGCAUUGCACAAAGAGAUUCUACGAGUCCGAGUCUUACGCUCACGUCUGUAAUCGGCAACGGCCAUCGUUGCAAAGGCCCGUUUCCUCUCAACGACUACUUGCAAUAAACGCUACAGUUCCUAAACGCCGAAAGAACGAUUUCUCGCACCUGGCCACCGAUAUUCGACCGAAUUAUCGCCCACGAUACCAAAUGUUCCUUAAGUUGUUUUUUCUGCGAAAAUACUCUUGUAAAUAGUCAACUUCUACAUAACUGAAGUGAAUUGUAUGCGAGGAAGAUCGAAUUAAAAUGUGAUAAGAUGUUCGAAAUAAAGAAUGCGCGCAGCGAGUUCUAUCGAUCACCCGAGAUGAGAUUCCAAAGUAUACUAAGUUGAAUACACCAACGAUAAAGUGAUCAUUUUCGGAAGAUGCUUUAAACGUAGAUCUUAUUUAUCGACAAAUGUAUUCCAUGAGCUUAGCUUUCGUCAUUGAUUCGAGAGAAAAGAUUCAUGAAAAAAAUACUGUUUUACAAAUAAAUGUAAUAUCCUACUCUGUUGAGCCUUUUUAGUUCCUGUAAUCCUAAGAUGUUGAAGUCCUAUUUUUUUCAAGUUCAACUAUUAAAAGCUAUUAAAAGUAUUAUCUUACCCAUUGCGUGUGUAAAUUAAAUGAAAUGCGACUCGUGCGACUAGCUUGGUAAACUUUGGAACCCAUGUGGUCAACGCAUAUUCUCGUCACGACGAUUAGGAUCGAAUGCCAGUUAUUGCACACACUCGAUGUAACUAUAUAAAUAUCGAUAUCAAUCUAUCAGUCUCAUGUCUGUUUGAUGGUACUUAAACGAAACGGUCCUUCGGGCUGUUCCCUCUGCAUUCAGCGGCGCAGUGUCGAUAAUGUUCUUUAAGCGAAGUAUAUAAGUUACUAAACAAUAACAAUAAUAAUAAACAGAUAAAUAAAUAAUUCUCUUCUCGUAGCACCGUUCCUUUUUUUGGCCCGACGUGCGACCCGAGCACGAAUCUUUUGUAUAUAAAAGUACCGCGAAUCGCGCAGGUGCGAGACGCGAAAGGUAAUAAUUAAUUAAUUAAUUGACGCUCUAUCUGGUCGCAAGUUGCGUGAGCCAACCUUGCGUAUAAACUCAUUGCUCGUUAUAUGCGAUGUAUUUUUGUGAACAGUAUUGAAAGUGCUACCGUUGUACAGUUAUCAUAUGGUAAAUGUACUAUAUAUAAUGAUGUAUCUAUAUGUACAUAGAUAUAUUUAAUUAAAGUGAAUAUGAAUUUGUGUA
Molecule: non-coding RNA, 6607 nt
Organism: Linepithema humile (Argentine ant)
Lineage: Eukaryota; Metazoa; Arthropoda; Insecta; Hymenoptera; Formicidae
Source: RefSeq, a predicted model, not a curated record